This 77-nucleotide transfer RNA is filed under the name Candidatus Nomurabacteria bacterium. RNAcentral describes it as "tRNA-Met". It matches the Rfam family "tRNA". From Rfam's summary of the family: Transfer RNA (tRNA) molecules are approximately 80 nucleotides in length. Their secondary structure includes four short double-helical elements and three loops (D, anti-codon, and T loops). The record is from RNAcentral. Lineage: Bacteria; Candidatus Nomuraibacteriota.
GGCACCAUAGCUCAGCUGGUUAGAGCGCAGGACUCAUAAGCCUGAGGUCAGUAGUUCGAUCCUACUUGGUGCUACCA